Molecule: long non-coding RNA, 1495 nt
Organism: Girardinichthys multiradiatus
Lineage: Eukaryota; Metazoa; Chordata; Actinopteri; Cyprinodontiformes; Goodeidae
Exons: 4
Source: RefSeq, a predicted model, not a curated record
UCUUUGUAGACAGAGUAGAAACAUUAGGCAUCGUAAAUAUGAGAAUAGUGGUAGAGUGCGCAAUUGAGCAUCUUUCAACUUAAAAUCAAGGGACUAAAGCCUUCCGUCAUAGCCACAUCCAUCCGCAUCCCACAGCUCUCCAUAACAUCGUCCAGGAUGUAUCGCCAUCAAGUGACAGGGCUGGCACGAGGAUACCAGUAUGCCAAAAAAUCUUGAUACAUCUACCACGUUCCAAGAACAAGACCUUGGUGAAAGGGUUGCUGGGGGUGCUGGAGGCUAUCUCAGCAGGGAAAGGGAACAACGAGGCACAAGAGAGAGCUAUACCAGAAAGAAACCGAAGAACAGCCGAAAUUAUUACUGGUGCAUUGCUGGAGAUCUACAGAUGGCAGCACAACCCCAUAGGAGACAACGUCAUAAAUCAGCCUGCUAAUUCCAAUCACAAUUUCCUCAGAAAUAAUAAAACGUAGCAUGUCGUUCAAGAACUACCAGUAUGAAUAAAAUCAUUUUGUUGUCAGACUGAUGAACUACACUAUAAACACAUAAGGUCAUGGCAAAGAUGAAGAACACCCCCAGAAACCACAUACCACAGAUUCCAUUGUGUCAUAAUUUAUUAGACAAGGAUGAAGAUAAAAUGUAAAACUUUUUUUUUUCUUUAAGUAGGAACAACAAAAAAGGCUAGAGAUGCCUAAAACAUAGCUCUCAGAUCUCAUAUUGAGAACCCUGUUGAAGUAGUAUAUUGCCUCUGUAUGCAUGCUUGGCUAUAUAUAACAAGCUGAAAUCUUUUGAAAUUGUUUUUUUUGUUUGUUUUACAUUAUGAGACUGACAUUUCACAAUAACUUGUUUGUGCUAGUAAGAUUAACAUUGAAUAUUUAUUUUUAGGUGUCGAUUUCAACUAAACCUGAUAUGAUUACAUACAUUUUAGUUAACCAAGGGGAGUACCUGUUCAACAGUUGCUUUCAUUAGAUAAUAAUUUUCUCUCCUUUAAAAGGUCAGUAACCAAAAUGUAUCAUAAUAUGUUUCACCUAAAGAUGCCAAGAAGUCUUUCCCUCUGGCCUUUUUCUUUCUUCUUUAGCUCUAAUUUUAAUUAGCUUGCUGACUCUGUACUUGUGAAUUCUGCAGUUUAUUGUUAAUGUAAGAUCCAGGUGACAAUAGCUCAAGGGCAUCACCAGAGACUUACCAGAAACUUGAGCAGAGUAUGAUUAGUCCUGAAAGCACGGCUGCAAUUCCUUUUAAUGUGAAAAAGCAAAGAGUGCAUGACUUCCAGAAUUAGCAAAACAACAUAUAUUCUAAUUUAAACUGAAAUAUGCUUUCAGGAAAUUCUGCAGUUGUGUGUCAAACACAGUCGAAUGAAAACUUUACUAUGUUCAACAAUGAAAGUGCACUACAUAAAAAUACCAAAUAAGUUUUGUUUUGUUGUUUUUUUAACCCUUGGAAGUGACAAAAUUUUCAUAUGUUUUAACCUCAAAUAUAUAUAGGUUAUACAGUACAGACCAAA